UACGUAGGCAGCAAGCGUUGUUCGGAAUUACUGGGCGUAAAGAGUGUGUAGGUGGUGUCGUAAGUUUGGUGUGAAAUCUCCCGGCUUAACUGGGAGGGUGCGCCGAAGACUGCGAUGCUCGAGUAUGGGAGAGGAAAGCGGAAUUCCUGGUGUAGCGGUGAAAUGCGUAGAUAUCAGGAGGAACACCUGCGGUGUAGACGGCUUUCUGGACCAUUACUGACACUGAGACACGAAAGCGUGGGUAGCAAACAGG
RNAcentral lists this ribosomal RNA (253 nucleotides) under uncultured bacterium. RNAcentral describes it as "partial 16S ribosomal RNA". It matches the Rfam family "Bacterial small subunit ribosomal RNA", at positions 524 to 776 of the family's 1533-position model. The record is from RNAcentral.